UAUAUAUAUAUUAUGCAUGCCAUUCAGGAAAUUAACCUUGACUAUAUAUACAAAAAGUCUGAAUAUGUAUAACAGAAAGUCUAAAUAUAUAUAUUUAUUUUAUUUUAUGGUCUGUAUUGUCAUUGUACCACGAGGAUACAACAAAACUGAGCCUCUGCUUUUAACAAGGGGAGCAGUGGGCAGCUUUAAAGCUCAACUCAAAAAAAAAAAAAAAAGGAAUGUGAAUGUCAGCGGUCAAUUGUAGGGGCGCGCUGAUAUUGGAACGUUUGUAUAACGGAAGUAGGAAUACGUUGUGCGGUCCUUAUUUCCGGUUGCGGAUCCAAGCGAGCAUCAGUUGUAUUGGAUCACACAUUCAGAUGUGGUGCCUCACCCGGGAUUUCUGCCCUGUCUUUGAUUGCAAAAUACUCAAAUCUGAUGAUUUUUACCUCAGUCAUCCUGAAAAUGCAUAUUUUAACACAGAUCAGUGGAAAAUAUUUAUAUUUAUUUCAUGUACUUUUUUUCAUGAUGAUGGCAGGUGAGGCACUACCUCCCCUGCCUCCCCUGACCGCACGUAUAUAUAUAAAAUAGUCCCUUAUUUAUCCCACAAUGGGGAAACUCAAUGCAGUGCAACUCACCAAAGCUGCCUCAGGAGGCGCCAUUAACAGCCAGUGUGACUGUACUUGCCCCUGCUUGUUCUCUCCCCAUCAUCAUUUAUCUCCCGUCUGCUGUCUCCCCCUGAUUUUUGCAUUUCUUUCUUUGCCAAGGCAGUUGGCUGAACAGUCUGAGUCUGGAGCUGCUGGAAAAUGUUUCCUUUUAAAAGGGAUUUUUUUCUUCUUCUCCCAUUUGUUGCCAAUGUGCUGUUUCAGUGGGUGAUCCAGUUUGGUUUUCAAAAAUAUUUGUAAAAUGUAUUCUGCUCUACUGUGUAAUUUCCCCCUUUUCCCUGUCAUUUCCUAAGGAAGAAUCUGUAACUUUAGUUCAAUGUAAAAACGUGUUUUGUAACUUUUGGUUUGAAAGGAAUGGGCCUGACUUGGCAAAUAUAGUUGUAAUCUAGAUAUAAUACUUAAACAGAGGAGAGUUUGUGAAUAAAAUAAAGUCUUUGGCAAUCAUCCAAACCUGAGUGACAGUAGGAAACAUGAUGCCUCGCCCCAGAUCAUUUCCACUAAUUCCACCUCUUUCAUCAAAAUCCUGGUUUUCCACAGCAUUAGUCCCACACCCAUCCUGGCUGUUCCCAGAAAAACACUUCCUAAAUAUCACAUGUCAAACCACAUUAAAUAUUCACAUUGUCUGAACACUUUAAUAACUUUCAGACAUUUGGAAAAUCUCAACAUUUCUUUAUGAGAAGCUCAGACAGAACAGAGAGAUUUUGAGACUUUAUGUUGUUUUUAAAUGAAAAAUACUUUAGACUAGAAGGUCUGUUCAAUAAUACAUUAACUUAGGACAGAUCCCCCCCCCCAAAAAAAGUUUGAACCAAAAACAUACAAAUGUAGCAGAAAACGAUCAAAAUUUUCAGGUCCACAACAAAUUCGUUAUAAAUGAAACAUAUUUGAAGUCUGGCCAAUCAAAGGUUAAAGUGAUGAUUGCCAUUGAUAAUUUUACAUUUCUGAAUUGAUAACUACAUUAUGUUGUAUAGUGAACUGUGAACACUUUCCAAACACUUUUCAACUUUAUGGAUUGCUUGUUGCUAGGCUUAUGUAGGCUAGGCUACGCUACACUAGGCUACUUACACUUCUUUUCGGAGUAAAAAUACGACCACUCAAAUAAACCGUUUUUGAGUUAUUAUGUAAUGAUUUAUUAAACAAUAAAGUCACUGAUUUUCCUAGAUGGAAUAUUUAAAUAUCUAUGAUACAAUCAUGUUAAACUGGCCAUAAAACUGUUCAAUAACAUAGUCAAACCUCUGCCACAUUUAAAACUUCCAUCACCCCCACACCACGAAUGACAAGUCACAUUACUUCACUUAAGCAGGGCGUAUUUCGCAAUUGAAUCCAUUCAAUUUAAUACAGUUUAAUCUUAUGAAUCAUAAAUUAUUGCUGAUAUGACAGUGUAGAAAAAACAAUGUUACACAAUUACUGACUGCGAGCACAGACACAUAGAUACAAAGUGUAUGAAGAGGUCAGAGGUAUCAUGAAAAUGUCAAGCCUUUAUGGUAACAAUAAUCUUUCUUUCUCUUACAGGAAGUUGCAACUUCAGUUGACCACAGCUGGACUCUCAAACAAGUUCCAUCAUAUUAAAGUCUGAAGACCAGGAUGUCAUGGUCGGUCCUUAAACAGUGUUGUAUGACAGGGAAGAGGAAGAGGUGGACUCAUCUGGCCUGAAAUGGAUUGCUGGUCUGCUUCAUCCUACUGCAGUCACACUAUCUGAGUCACACAAACACGGGGGAACCUCGCCACAGAGGAAGUGAUGCAGUUUUACACACAGCAUUAAAAUAGGUUCUUGUUAAACCACACCAAACACAUGCUUUUAAACCAAGUCACAUUUUUGUGGCCGUGCAGAGUCAACCUAGCUGCCCGACAAAACAAAGUGUAUUUGUUAUGCUGAACGCUAGUUAAAGUGGUUAAAGUGGUUAUGAAACAACAGGCUAUGAUGGAGUACAAAAAAAGAAAAAAAAAUAGGAAGAGUAGGUUGUUGGUAAAAGUCUGGGAUCACCUCUUCAAGUUCUGUUCUCAUGAGCAGAACUGAAGACAAACUUGACCUAAAUGGUUCCCAGUGUUCUAGAGCCGGAACAUAUGUUCAGCAUGGAUCCCUCACCAGUGUUUAUGUGCCGUUUAAUUGGCCUGUUUAAAAUGUAAGCCUUUUUAAACAAUGCUUACAUGAGUGUGUGGCCUAAACAUCUGGUUUGCAGAACUUUAAACUGAUCAAAGAUGGAACAUGAGGCGGUAAAAUAAACAUAAACAUGUAUAAACAUAACAACAAAUAUUGUAAAAUACCAAAGUUUUUUUUUCUCUUCCAGGCAUCUACACAAUAGACCAGGAUGGCAAAUCCAGGACCAGGUUUAUAUGAAACUGGACCUACUGUCAGGCCACCAUAUGUUCCAAUAGACGUCUAGGAAUUCAGUUGGUUUACAAGUGCUCACUCACUCCCAGCUGCCUCUCAACCUCUGCACUCCACCCUGCAGACAUGUGGACAUCAGCUGCAGCACAGGGCCGUACAUUAAAGUCAUGAAAAUAAAGAUAGCAACGAAUCAUCAGUCAAGUGCUGGACUCUUGCACUACAGUAUCUUUGACAUCUUGGAGCAACGACUAAAAGUAGCUCAAUGCUACCACCCUGUGGUAUGUUUGGGAAGUUGAUGCUCAGCCUCAGAGGAAACGUGGUCGACGACUUUCCCUCCACAUUGUAACCGAUUUCAAAUGGUGCUAGACAUGAUGGAGACUCUAAACACCAGAGGAAAACGGUCAGCCUUGGUGAGAGGGGGUCUGUUGAACAGGGAGAUAUAGGUCUCACUGGGGGCGUUGUGACGUCACACAUAUCAGAUAAAUAAUACACAAAGACUCAAACGUUGCCAAAUGUGUCCACAUGGUGAGAGCUGUUCUGAGGUCUGUUCCUUCUCAAGAACACCGAUUUCAAAUGGUGCUAGAAGGGAUUUAAUACUCUAAGACACCAUAUGAAACCAGUUCCCUGGGGAGGAGGCCGAUGGGAGCCAACUUCGAACAGCCUCUUCUGCCAUCUGAAAUUAGAAGACACAAACAUGUUACUGUUGAUAUUAAUGCGCCGGCAAACUUAUAGCCAAACUAACAACAAACUCCACAGACGCACAAGUAAUGUAUUCCAGAACAAUCAAUCAGAGUGGCACUGCCAAACUGCUUAUUGAUUUCCUGUUUAAAGAAUCAUUCUCUGUGAAACAUAUUUAAUUGCCUGUUGAAAAUAGAUGCAGAAAAAUUAACACAAUAACAUGUUGAAUUUGACGGUCCUAUAUAUUAUUAAUUGUGACUCAAUCUUUUGUUAUUUUGGUUCAAAAUGACCGCCGGGACAAGGCUUAAAAAACAAAACAACAACAAAAAGAAUCUCUAAAUUCUGCUCAUGCCAUUCAUUCAACCAUUCAUGUGAAACCUGACGCUGUGCCACUGUUGCACCUUCCUCCAGGCAUAGAAAUGGAAAGAUCAAGAGCUGAUUGACAGCACCGAGGCCAAAUUAAAGAUGAACUACUGAGUCAUGGUCAGCACAUGUGAGAAUGACACAGCGGCUCCAGCCCCUUGCAGUGCAAGUGCAUCAGAAUCUCUGUAUUUGUAAUCAAAGCUGCACAACAAACACCACCAGGAGCAAAAUGUGGCCAUAAAAAGUGAAGAAACUUGGAGGUGACAUCCAUCUGCAGUAUAAUGUAAGGGUGACUGUUAGCCCUGGGAAAAAUAUAGAUAAAGAUAGACAGACAGAUUCUUUA
Molecule: long non-coding RNA, 4351 nt
Organism: Cynoglossus semilaevis (tongue sole)
Lineage: Eukaryota; Metazoa; Chordata; Actinopteri; Pleuronectiformes; Cynoglossidae
Exons: 3
Source: RefSeq, a predicted model, not a curated record